AUGAGCUCCUGGAGCCAUUUGCUUUGAAAUGUGCACAUUUCACAGGCGGCUGCCUGCCAAUGAGACAACUCUAAGCAGGACCAAGAAAAAGGAAAAGAGAGAGAUGCCAGAGAUUUCCAUAGCUGACAUACGCAAAAGAAAGGAAACCUGAAAGGCCCAGAGUGCUGAUGGAGUAAGUGAAGGCAGAGCCUUGAGGAAAUUUUUUUCUUGGCUCUUCAUCAUGAAGACCUCGGGAGAUUUCUGGAGGUAAAACCAGUGGAAAUAUGGAGGCACCUCUAAGACUGUUGUCCCCAGGAGUUUCUCAUUCUCACACUAGAUGACACUCAGCCUCCAUCAGCUCACCAAAAUUACCAUUUAGUUGCUCCUAUCAGUUGUGGCUGCACAGGUUUGUGCUCCAGGACACAAUUGGAAAUAUUGAUUAUAUUACCAAAGCUUUGACUGGAAUGUCAUAUUUGAGAGAAACAUACAGACUAAGAUAUGACAAGACAGUUUUUGAGAAAUAAAGGUUGACUUUAUGGAAUAAAGCCACCUGGAAAUAUUG
RNAcentral lists this long non-coding RNA (541 nucleotides) under Equus caballus (horse). RNAcentral describes it as "lncRNA (ENSECAG00000048785.1)". Lineage: Eukaryota; Metazoa; Chordata; Mammalia; Perissodactyla; Equidae. The record is from RNAcentral.